AACGAACGCUGGCGGCAUGCCUAACACAUGCAAGUCGAACGAGACCUUCGGGUCUAGUGGCGCACGGGUGCGUAACGCGUGGGAACCUGCCCUUAGGUUCGGAAUAACUCCCCGAAAGGGGUGCUAAUACCGGAUAAUGUCUUCGGACCAAAGAUCUAUCGCUUUUGGAUGGGCCCGCGUUGGAUUAGCUAGUUGGUAGGGUAAAAGCCUACCAAGGCGACGAUCCAUAGCUGGUCUGAGAGGAUGAUCAGCCACACUGGGACUGAGACACGGCCCAGACUCCUACGGGAGGCAGCAGUGGGGAAUAUUGGACAAUGGGCGAAAGCCUGAUCCAGCAAUGCCGCGUGAGUGAUGAAGGCCUUAGGGUUGUAAAGCUCUUUUACCCGGGAUGAUAAUGACAGUACCGGGAGAAUAAGCUCCGGCUAACUCCGUG
This 433-nucleotide ribosomal RNA is filed under the name uncultured bacterium. RNAcentral describes it as "partial 16S ribosomal RNA". It matches the Rfam family "Bacterial small subunit ribosomal RNA", at positions 29 to 507 of the family's 1533-position model. The record is from RNAcentral.